Oncorhynchus tshawytscha (Chinook salmon) is the source of this 2165-nucleotide long non-coding RNA. RefSeq lists it as uncharacterized. The record is from RefSeq and is a predicted model, not a curated record. NCBI's taxonomy places the organism in Eukaryota, Metazoa, Chordata, Actinopteri, Salmoniformes, Salmonidae. The transcript is spliced from 3 exons.
CACUUCCAUAUGUCCAAUGAUUAAAUAUUUACAGAGCUCUCUGCCUUAGCCCAAUCUCUCUAUUGGAUUAUGUGAUUUAUGCCAUACUACCGUAUAUAAAAUAGUCUAAAGUCGAUUUUUUUUAAACACACAAGAAAUAAGAAAAAGACAGAGAAAGUAAGCCAUUUACAGGGUCAGUGCCAGUGUAACGCUCCGGGUGUCGUGGGUGUGGAGUCAGACGCAGGAAACAGAGAGUGCAAUGCUGUGCUAUUUAACGCACAAACGCAACACAGGGUGCUCACAACAAUAACGGCCCCAAACACGGGGGACGAAAAAUGUACAACUGAAAUACACGACCAGGAAACAAACACGUUCCUCUAAUACAGAACCGAAGGUCACAAUAAUUAAUCCCGCACAACAAACAGGCGGGCCGGCUGUCUAAUAAAGCCCAACUAAUCAUUCACAAACAGGUGCUACCAAUAAACAUACAAGGAGGGGGAGGAAAGACAAUCAGUGGCAGCUAAUAGGCCGGUGACGACGACCACCGAGCGCCACCCGACCAGGAAGGGAAGCCACCCUCGGUCGGACUCGUGACAGCCACAUUGUAACGAUUGUCAUCGGGAGAAUGAGAAGAGGACCAAAGUGUAGCGUGGGAGAAGAUUCAGGCCUGCACUCUCAAGAUUCAUCAAAGGAAUGUACUUUUCCCCACUGAACCUCUAACACAUUCAAAAACGGCAGGUUGUAUCUAAUGAAGUCCGGGACAUCGUCGUUGACCAUGUGGUAAGAGGCUGACAGAUUAGUUCACACCAAUCUGAAAAGAUCAACUGUCAAUUCGAUCAUGAGAAAAUUUCGCCAAGAAAACUGGUAAGUCUGCAGGAUAUACAUUAUCAUUACAUUUACAGUAAAUUACAUAUUGUAAUGCAUGUAAAUUCACUAAACAUGUUAAAGUAUACUCUAUACUACCCUCAGAAUUGACAGGAGAACACAUGGUGGUGGCCGUGUGCUGACCGACCAGCAGGACUGGACAGUGGUGGAAAUGGUGAGGGCCAGGAAUGACAUACGGCUGUCCAAAAUAAAGUAGGCUAUUGAGGAGAACAAUGUCACCUUUGCCAAUGUGUGUUCCAUCAUGAAAUACAUUUACCUGUUGCCUUUUGAAAUAAUUAACAAUCGGGUAAAACAACUGUGGGUCAAGUAUGUUCAGGUACAGCACUAUACACUGUAUUAUUGUUAUUAUUUGAUGCACAUGCUACUUCACAAUAUCAUAUUGGAACUAUACUGUAAAAAUAACUAACUCCCCCAAAAAUGUAGAGGAUGAUGGCGCUUGAUGCUGCUGUGAACCAUCACAAGUAUAUCUUUGUUGAUGAAGUGGGCUUCAACCUGGCCAAAACUCGGCACCUUGGGCGGAUCCUCAUCGGCCAACGGGCGACUGUCCAAGUGCCUGUAAAACGUGGGGGAAACAUCUCUAUGCGCGCAGCCUUCUCUGAAGAUGGUGUGGUAGGCCAUUACUUGGACCAUACAAUGCUGCACACCUCAUUGUGUUUCUCAAUAAAAUUGAGCAGGCAGGCAAGGUGAAGGGGUCACCUAUGUCAUUGUGCUCGACAAUGUCAGGUUACACCAUGCUGAAUUGGUUCAGGCUGUUGGGCCCAUCCCCGAUUCAUGACCCUAUACCAGCCCGCAUACUCUCCUUUCCUCAAACCUAUUGAGUAUUUUGUUUUAGUAUGGAGGUGGAAGGUGUACGAUCGACAUCCCCGUGAGCAUGCCACCCUCCUUCUGGCCAUGGAUGAGACAUGCAACGAUAUUAAUGCAGACCAAUGUCAGGCUUGGAUUCGCCAUACAAGAAGGUUUUUCCCACGGUGCAUGAACAAUGACAUUCACUGUGAUAUGGAUGAGAAUUUAUGGCCAAAUGCUCACAGUCUUAAUGCAAAUUAAUGCGUGCUAAACGUUAUGUUUUAUUUUCAUUCAUUUGUUUCAUCAAAUUUCUUACAUUUGAUUACAUGCAGUACACCUAUGUUGCAAUUGUGCGUGAAUGAUUCUAGAGGAUGUCUAUGUUGAUCACAUAUUGGAUAGAUAUGGAAGGGAUAGAUUUUCUGUCAAUUUUGUUGGGUAAUGUACACUACCGUUCAAAGGUUUGGGGUCACUUAGAAAUGUCCUUUUUUUUUAAAGAAAAGCUAAUUUUUUCCCAUUAA